UGGGGAAUCUUGGACAAUGGGGGCAACCCUGAUCCAGCGAUGCCGCGUGUGUGAAGAAGGCCUUCGGGUUGUAAAGCACUUUAGUUGGGGAAAAAGGUUACUGGUUUAAGAGAUAGGUAAUUUGAUGGUACCCAAAGAAUAAGCACCGGCUAACUCUGUGCCAGCAGCCGCGGUAAUACAGAGGGUGCGAGCGUUAAUCGGAAUGACUGGGCGUAAAGGGCGCGUAGGUGGGUUGAUAAGAGAGUUGUGAAAUCCCUGGGCUUAACCUAGGAAUGGCAACUGAGACUGUUGAUCUGGAGUACAGUAGAGGGUAGUGGAAUUUCCGGUGUAGCAGUGAAAUGCGUAGAUAUCGGAAGGAACAUCAGUGGCGAAGGCGGCUACCUGGACUGAUACUGACACUGAGGCGCGAGAGCGUGGGGAGCAAACA
Molecule: ribosomal RNA, 427 nt
Filed under: uncultured Gammaproteobacteria bacterium
Lineage: Bacteria; Pseudomonadati; Pseudomonadota; Gammaproteobacteria
Description: uncultured gamma proteobacterium partial 16S ribosomal RNA
Rfam family: Bacterial small subunit ribosomal RNA
Source: RNAcentral